GACGAACGCUGGCGGCGUGCCUAAUACAUGCAAGUAGAACGCUGAAGGAGGAGCUUGCUUCUCUGGAUGAGUUGCGAACGGGUGAGUAACGCGUAGGUAACCUGCCUGGUAGCGGGGGAUAACUAUUGGAAACGAUAGCUAAUACCGCAUAAGAGUAGAUGUUGCAUGACAUUUGCUUAAAAGGUGCAAUUGCUUCACUACCAGAUGGACCUGCGUUGUAUUAGCUAGUUGGUGGGGUAACGGCUCACCAAGGCGACGAUACAUAGCCGACCUGAGAGGGGGAUCGGCCACACUGGGACUGAGACACGGCACAGACGCCUACGGGAGGCAGCAGUAGGGAAUCGUCGGCAAUGGACGGAAGUCUGACCGAGAAACGCCGCGGGAGUGAAGAAGGUUGUCGGAUCGUAAAGCUCUGUUGUAAGAGAAGAACGAGUGUGAGAGUGGAAAGUUCACACUGUGACGGUAUCUUAUCAGAAAGGGACGGCUAACUACGUG
RNAcentral lists this ribosomal RNA (495 nucleotides) under uncultured bacterium. RNAcentral's name for it is "partial 16S ribosomal RNA". It matches the Rfam family "Bacterial small subunit ribosomal RNA", at positions 28 to 507 of the family's 1533-position model. The record is from RNAcentral.